This 307-nucleotide long non-coding RNA is filed under the name Homo sapiens (human). Its description in RNAcentral is "non-protein coding lnc-FBXL4-4:1". The record is from RNAcentral. Lineage: Eukaryota; Metazoa; Chordata; Mammalia; Primates; Hominidae.
AUAACCCUCAAUAAGCUAGGCAUUAAAGGAGCAUACUUCAAAAUAAUAAGAGCCAUCUGUGACAAACCCAUAGCUAACAUUAUACUGAAUGGGCAAAAGCUGAAAGUUUCCCCCUUGAAAACUUGCACAAGACAAGGAUGCCCUCUCUCACCACUGCUCCUAUUCAACAUAAUGUUGAAAGUCCUGGCCAGAGCAAUAAGGCAAGAGAAAGAAAUAAAAGGCAUCAAAAUACGGAGAGAGGAGGUCAAACUGUCCCUGUUAACAGACGACAUGAUUCUAUAUGUAGAAAAUCUCAUAGUCCUGGCCC